Molecule: ribosomal RNA, 256 nt
Filed under: uncultured bacterium
Lineage: Bacteria
Description: partial 16S ribosomal RNA
Rfam family: Bacterial small subunit ribosomal RNA
Source: RNAcentral
UACGUAGGGUGCGAGCGUUGCCCGGAUUUAUUGGGCGUAAAGGGCGCGUAGGCGGCCACGCACGUCCGUUGUGAAAUCGCCCGGCUCAACUGGGCGGGGUCAGCGGAUACGGUGUGGCUCGAGCAAGCUAGGGGGCAAUGGAAUUCCCGGUGUGAGUGGUGGAAUGCGUAGAGUAUCGGGAGGAACACCAGUGGCGAAGGCGGUUGCCUGGAGCUUUGCUGACGCUGAGGCUGCGAAAGCGUGGGGAGCGAUCCGG